GAUGAACGCUGGCGGCGUGCCUAAUACAUGCAAGUCGAGCGAACAGACGAGGAGCUUGCUCCUUUGACGUUAGCGGCGGACGGGUGAGUAACACGUAGGUAACCUACCUAUAAGACUGGGAUAACUUCGGGAAACCGGAGCUAAUACCGGAUAAUAUUUCGAACCGCAUGGUUCGAUAGUGAAAGAUGGCUUUGCUAUCACUUAUAGAUGGACCUGCGCCGUAUUAGCUAGUUGGUAAGGUAACGGCUUACCAAGGCAACGAUACGUAGCCGACCUGAGAGGGUGAUCGGCCACACUGGAACUGAGACACGGUCCAGACUCCUACGGGAGGCAGCAGUAGGGAAUCUUCCGCAAUGGGCGAAAGCCUGACGGAGCAACGCCGCGUGAGUGAUGAAGGUCUUCGGAUCGUAAAACUCUGUUAUUAGGGAAGAACAAACGUGUAAGUAACUGUGCACGUCUUGACGGUACCUAAUCAGAAAGCCACGACUAACUACGUG
Molecule: ribosomal RNA, 497 nt
Filed under: uncultured bacterium
Lineage: Bacteria
Description: partial 16S ribosomal RNA
Rfam family: Bacterial small subunit ribosomal RNA
Source: RNAcentral